RNAcentral lists this ribosomal RNA (469 nucleotides) under uncultured Alphaproteobacteria bacterium. RNAcentral's name for it is "bacterial SSU rRNA". It matches the Rfam family "Bacterial small subunit ribosomal RNA", at positions 9 to 524 of the family's 1533-position model. Lineage: Bacteria; Pseudomonadati; Pseudomonadota; Alphaproteobacteria. The record is from RNAcentral.
GAGUUUGAUCAUGGCUCAGAACGAACGCUGGCGGCAUGCCUAACACAUGCAAGUCGAACGAUGGCUUCGGCCAUAGUGGCGCACGGGUGCGUAACGCGUGGGAACCUGCCCUUAGGUUCGGAAUAACUCAGAGAAAUUUGAGCUAAUACCGGAUAAUGUCUUCGGACCAAAGAUUUAUCGCCUUUGGAUGGGCCCGCGUUGGAUUAGCUAGUUGGUGGGGUAAAGGCCUGCCAAGGCGACGAUCCAUAGCUGGUCUUAGAGGAUGAUCAGCCACACUGGGACUGAGACACGGCCCAGACUCCUACGGGAGGCAGCAGUGGGGAAUAUUGGACAAUGGGCGAAAGCCUGAUCCAGCAAUGCCGCGUGAGUGAUGAAGGCCCUAGGGUUGUAAAGCUCUUUUACCCGGGAUGAUAAUGACAGUACCGGGAGAAUAAGCUCCGGCUAACUCCGUGCCAGCCGCCGCAGUAAC